RNAcentral lists this RNase P RNA (420 nucleotides) under Candidatus Peregrinibacteria bacterium. Its description in RNAcentral is "RNase P RNA component class A". It matches the Rfam family "Bacterial RNase P class A". Rfam says of the family: Ribonuclease P (RNase P) is a ubiquitous endoribonuclease, found in archaea, bacteria and eukarya as well as chloroplasts and mitochondria. Its best characterised activity is the generation of mature 5'-ends of tRNAs by cleaving the 5'-leader elements of precursor-tRNAs. The record is from RNAcentral. Lineage: Bacteria; Candidatus Peregrinibacteriota.
AAGGUUCUUUGAAUGAUCGCUUGCCAAGGAGCGCUUUGCUCCGGCAAGAGGAAAGUCCGAGCACUAUCGAAACAAUGCAACGGGUAACACCCGUCGGACGCGUUCCAAAUAGCGUUUUAGCAAACAAAACCGCGUCUAGAGAAAGUGCCACAGAGACUAUACUAGCUUCGUUUAACGAAGCGAAAGGUGAAAAGCCCGGCUAAGCCGGGGAUCUCAAGGUAACUUGAGGGUAUGGUAAACCUUGCAUAGUGCAAGGCGGGGUGGAAAGAAAGGAUGCGGCAAAAAAAUGCCGCGUAAAGUUCGGUUUCGAAACUCCAAUCUUCCCGCCGCAUGAUCCGAGCUGUAAAGCACGGACACAGAUAGAUGAUCAUUGCGCCGCGACGCGGCGAACAGAACUCGGCUUACAAAAGAACCUUCGCG